CGCUAUCACUCCUACGGGGAGGCAGCAGUAGGGAAUCUUCACAAUGGGCGCAAGCCUGAUGGAGCAACACCGCGUGAGUGAAGAAGGGUUUCGGCUCGUAAAGCUCUGUUGUUAAAGAAGAACACGUAUGAGAGUAACUGUUCAUGCGUUGACGGUAUUUAACCAGAAAGUCACGGCUAACUACGUGCCAGCAGCCGCGGUAAUACGUAGGUGGCAAGCGUUAUCCGGAUUUAUUGGGCGUAAAGAGAGUGCAGGCGGUUUUCUAAGUCUGAUGUGAAAGCCUUCGGCUUAACCGGAGAAGUGCAUCGGAAACUGGAUAACUUGAGUGCAGAAGAGGGUAGUGGAACUCCAUGUGUAGCGGUGGAAUGCGUAGAUAUAUGGAAGAACACCAGUGGCGAAGGCGGCUACCUGGUCUGCAACUGACGCUGAGACUCGAAAGCAUGGGUAGCGAACAGGAUUAGAUACCCUGGUAG
This 473-nucleotide ribosomal RNA is filed under the name uncultured bacterium. Its description in RNAcentral is "bacterial SSU rRNA". It matches the Rfam family "Bacterial small subunit ribosomal RNA", at positions 328 to 793 of the family's 1533-position model. The record is from RNAcentral.